AUACGGAGGGUGCAAGCGUUGUCCGGAUUUAUUGGGUUUAAAGGGUGCGUAGGCGGCUGUUUAAGUCAGUGGUGAAAGACUCCGGCUCAACCGGGGCAGUGCCAUUGAUACUGGACAGCUUGAGUGUUGGAGGGGUACAUGGAAUUGAUGGUGUAGCGGUGAAAUGCAUAGAUACCAUCAGGAACACCGAUAGCGAAGGCAUUGUACUGGCCAACAACUGACGCUGAUGCACGAAAGCAUGGGUAGCGAACAGGAUUAGAUACCCUGGUAGUCCAUGCCGUAAACGAUGAUUACUCGCUGUUAUGUCUAUAUGAUGUAGCGGCCAAGCGAAAGCGUUAAGUAAUCCACCUGGGGAGUACGCUCGCAAGAGUGAA
RNAcentral lists this ribosomal RNA (374 nucleotides) under uncultured bacterium. RNAcentral's name for it is "bacterial SSU rRNA". It matches the Rfam family "Bacterial small subunit ribosomal RNA", at positions 523 to 898 of the family's 1533-position model. The record is from RNAcentral.